Long non-coding RNA from Rhagoletis pomonella (apple maggot), 939 nucleotides. RefSeq lists it as uncharacterized. The record is from RefSeq and is a predicted model, not a curated record. The transcript has 3 exons. NCBI's taxonomy places the organism in Eukaryota, Metazoa, Arthropoda, Insecta, Diptera, Tephritidae.
UUAUCAUCAUCAUCAACGGAGCCAACGAAACCGAUGCCUCAUAGCUUUUUGGUAGUCAUCGUCUUCGACGCUAUCACUAUAAUAACCGUAAUCGUGCUCGUUGUUGCCGUGAAUACUCGUAUGACUCAAUAAUCGCAUUCAAUAGCUGCAACCGCCCGCGUUUCAGUCGUGAGCUGUUUGGUUGUCAAUUGAGUACUGGCACGAGCCGGUCGCAGCGGAUUUUCCGAUAUCCGACACAGCCAGCCACAGUGUACAAGUCAAGCCAAACCAGCGAAGCAGUCAUCUAAUCAAGCAGUUAGUCAGUCAGCUGCAGUCACAGCUACAGUCAUAGCAACAUCCACAGUCUGCUCGGUGAGUGUCUGUAAGAUCUAGGAAUGUACAUAUGUAUGUAAAGACGGUUACAUCGAAUUCCGGUGGCAAAAUAGACUACAAUAAGAACGCUCAUGUUAACAGUGUAAACAGCGCAAACGCAAAAGAGCUGGAGCAAAAUGGGAGCGUAAACAGCGAGUUACGAAGUGGCAGUUCAUGCAUGACUACGCCACAUCAACAAUGGGUGAAAUAGGGUUGUACGAUACGCAACAAACCCUGCGAGAAUCUGUCAAUUAAAUUCAAACAAAUGCAAGUACUAUACGUACAUAUGUAUAGGUAAAUAUGUAUGCAUAUUUAUAUAACUCACACGAGGCUUUGAUGUGAAACAAAAAUACCAAUGGAAUGGUCGCAUUACGAAAUUUAUCACAACUAAGUACUUCCAGUACCAACUCGUGCCCGUAUUCUAACUCGUAAUCACACAUAGAUAUUCGUAUUUAAAUUCUUCGUCUUCGAGUCUGCAUUCGUACAUAUACACUUUUCUAUUUCCAUGUAAUACAACGAUCCCACGAAAGCAUGCAUGCACAUUAGGGUGGUGCAAAAACAGUAAAGUCGGAAUUGUAAUGCCCUAAC